CUUAAUGACAAGGUAUAUUAAAACCUUUGGGCAUACGUUCAUGCUCUGUUGGACUCAAAGGUUGGAACAUAAAAGGGACACAGAGCAGGACAUUUCCAGUAGGAGAGACAGGAGUUUGGAUACCCCGGUCACACAUGGACCCAACGGCUCUCUAUGUAAGGCACAAAGAAACAGCAGCCGCUGUCUGCAACAUGUCGGAAUCUGCUGAUACACAUUGCCGUGGCAGGAUAAGCAAUUACCUUUCCUGCUCACUGUCAAGUGCGAGAGAAUCUGCUGAUCGAGACAAACCCGCAUCCAGCUUCGAAACACGCUAUCAGGCGCUGCUAAGGGGGGACGUCGGCCCACUCGUACUGUCAAUCAAGAGUACAAGUCAGAGCCAAGAGAUAAGAAGGACAAUGGGGAGCUCUGCCAGUACACUAAAACAAUGCAAAAGAACACGUCUUACUAUCGAAACCAGAACUGUUAUCUUUCCAUAGUCACUUCAAUCACCUACUAAUUACAUCUGACAUCACAGGUUGCAGAACUACGCCUUAUCAACAAAGACCCUUAAUGACAAUGCCUUAACCAAGUACACAUUUUGAAGACAUUCCAUCUCAGAAAUACCAGCUGUACAAUAUACACACAAUAACUCCAAUAGGAGUCAGGGGGAGGUCACAGGGAAAGUAAUUAGAAUCAGGUCUAAUUUAAUACUGACAUCAGCCAGUGAGCUCUCAGCUGGACCUCAGCUCGUGAGCUCUCAGCUGGACCUCAGCUAGGUGGACCUCAGCUCGUGACCUCUCAGGUGGACCUCAGCUGGUGAGCUCUCAGGUGGACCUCAGCUCGUGACCUCUCAGGUGGACCUCAGCUGGUGAGCUCUCAGGUGGACCUCAGCUCGUGAGCUCUCAGGUGGGCCUCAGCUCGUGAGCUCUCAGGUGGGCCUCAGCUCGUGAGCUCUCAGCUGGACCUCAGCUCGUGAGCUCUCAGGUGGGCCUCAGCUCGUGAGCUCUC
Long non-coding RNA from Clupea harengus (Atlantic herring), 987 nucleotides. NCBI's taxonomy places the organism in Eukaryota, Metazoa, Chordata, Actinopteri, Clupeiformes, Clupeidae. The record is from Ensembl.